RNAcentral lists this ribosomal RNA (750 nucleotides) under uncultured bacterium. Its description in RNAcentral is "bacterial SSU rRNA". It matches the Rfam family "Bacterial small subunit ribosomal RNA", at positions 43 to 783 of the family's 1533-position model. The record is from RNAcentral.
CAGGCCUAACACAUGCAAGUCGAGCGGACAUAUCCUUCGGGAUAGGUUAGCGGCGGACGGGUGAGUAACACGUAGGCAACCUGCCUGUAAGAUCGGGAUAACUACCGGAAACGGUAGCUAAGACCGGAUAGCUGGUUUCUCCGCAUGGGGGAAUCAUGAAACAUGGGGCAACCUAUGGCUUACGGAUGGGCCUGCGGCGCAUUAGCUAGUUGGUGGGGUAAUGGCCCACCAAGGCGACGAUGCGUAGCCGACCUGAGAGGGUGAUCGGCCACACUGGGACUGAGACACGGCCCAGACUCCUACGGGAGGCAGCAGUAGGGAAUCUUCCGCAAUGGGCGCAAGCCUGACGGAGCAACGCCGCGUGAGUGAUGAAGGUUUUCGGAUCGUAAAGCUCUGUUGCCAAGGAAGAACGCCUCGGAGAGUAACUGCUCUGAGGGUGACGGUACUUGAGAAGAAAGCCCCGGCUAACUACGUGCCAGCAGCCGCGGUAAUACGUAGGGGGCAAGCGUUGUCCGGAAUUAUUGGGCGUAAAGCGCGCGCAGGCGGUCUUUUAAGUUUGGUGUUUAAGCCCGGGGCUCAACCCCGGUUCGCACUGAAAACUGGGAGACUUGAGUGCAGGAGAGGAAAGCGGAAUUCCACGUGUAGCGGUGAAAUGCGUAGAGAUGUGGAGGAACACCAGUGGCGAAGGCGGCUUUCUGGACUGUAACUGACGCUGAGGCGCGAAAGCGUGGGGAGCAAACAGGAUUAGAU